ACAGGUGGAGAACCUGAAACUCAGAAAGAUUACAUAUUGCUUGUGGUGGUGGUGGUUGUUUUUUCUUACAAGAUCACACAGCAAGUAGAAGGCCAAGGUGACUCUUUGUCUGGAGCACAGUGCAAGAUUCGUGGUUCCUAGAAGUAUCUGCAGAGUCAACCUGGCUCUUCAAAGACAAAAGGAGACCUGGAGCUAAACAGAAGUUCUGCAGAGGUUACAUGAUGUAUGAAGGAACAGAUUGAAUGCAAAGGAGACGUAAGAAUCCAGUUGUCUGCUCUUUAGCCAGACAUUAAAGAAAUCUGCAAAAACGCAGGAAACUUCGUGUUGACAUGGUGGGGCCACCCAAUUGAAGCGAACGCACUAUUGAGCAACACAGAAGUGUCACUCAGGCCUGCACUAGAAUCUGCAUGAAUGGACACAUCAACCCUUUCCCUCGUGGAGUUUUGGGAGUUUUUCUUCUUGCACUGUACUCUGUUGGAAAUACUAAUGCAUCCACUAAUGCAUCUCCCAGGGGCACUGGCACUGAAGAAGAGGGGCAUGCUGAUUUCCAUGGAUCUCUGAUUUGUGGAUCAAUAGUUUUGAGCAGUAGGUUCCUCCUUGUGUAUAAUACCUUUUUGUCCUCCUCUACAUAGAGCAUAAUAAAAAUGUCAACCACAUCUGUAUGUCAAAAUAAAAAUAGCCAAAGUUUUGA
Panthera uncia (snow leopard) is the source of this 691-nucleotide long non-coding RNA. RefSeq lists it as uncharacterized. The transcript is spliced from 4 exons. The record is from RefSeq and is a predicted model, not a curated record. NCBI's taxonomy places the organism in Eukaryota, Metazoa, Chordata, Mammalia, Carnivora, Felidae.